GGCUAAAUAGUUUUUCCCUUACUCAUAAGUUUAUAUUAUUACUACAUAGUUUUUAGUAUUAUGUACUUAUGCAAUCAAGAAGUCAUAACGUAUAAAGGAGCAUUUUGGUAUAAAAAUAGUUACAGUAAUUAUUAUGACAUUGGAGUUCAACUUAGAUAAAAAAAUUAUUUGAAAUAAUAUCUAGAACAACAGGGUUGAAACUAUUUAUAUAAUAUGUCUAGACACUUGGUGGUGUACACCACCAUUGAUGUGGAUUCCAUUCAGUUAGCCAUGAGUGGCGAGGACCCUUCUUGCAUUGCCCUUCUCCCCCUUUGGCUUCAUGAUAGUGCCAAUGCUAUCAUCACCCAUCAAUGCUAACUCCUCAAAGUCUCCAUUUUUCAACUCAGGUUGCCUCCUAACCAUGGGGCUGCAAGUUCUCGCCAGCACAAUCCCUUCUCCAAAGUUGAACCUCUCAAGUGUGACGGCCAUCAACAACCACCUCUGCAACACCUUGCACCAAAUUGAAGCUGCUUUUUCUAGUAGUAGUGAGAAUGCCACUAAUGCCCUUCUAUUUCACUGUCCCCUUUCUCCACAAUUUCUUUUCGUUUCAAUUCUUUUGUUGGUAUAAAUUAUAAAAGUAAUAAAAACACAAAAUUGCCAAUUUUUCGUUCUUAAUUUCACCCAGACACAACCCUUGAUGCCAAACAUAAUCCAAAUGACCAAACUGAAGUUAAGUCUCGACAAAAUUUUGUGGCUCGAUUCAAAGCCCUAAAAUUCCCUCACCCCAAAUGCCCUAAUCCAUAUCACAAUUGACCUAGGAGAAUAUAAAGAUGCAAAUAGUGAAACCUAAAAUCAAACUUGAGAAGGAAAAUUGGAAGACAAGAAGCUUACAAAUUAACAGGAGCAGCAAAAGCAAGCCACCACCUACUCGACCUCCUCAGCAGCGGGUUUGACCUUCUCAGAAUUCCAAUUCAAGAUUCGUCUUUCACGCAUCACAAUGCAACAGGGGUUUGGGAUUUUUCCUGAGGUUUGAGUCACCAAUCACAAAUUCGACUCAGUUUAUUCCAAAAAUGGGGGAAAAAGACGGACAGGGAUACACUUUCCACUGGCCGCGAACGAUGGUGGAUUGGACGACCAUCCACUAACAGCCGUAGGAAUCCGAUACCUCACACGCACUGAACGAAUGAGUACUCCAAAUAGUCGAGACUCUGUGAAGGAAGAGAUGUGCACACUCGAAGAAGGGUUUCAAAGAAGAAAGGUUCUAAAUGCUUCUAAAGGUGUCUCUGGCUUCUGUCACUCGAAAGGGAGAAUCACCCUCCUAAAUGUUUAAUUUUAUUUCCUCACCCUUUACCGGCGGCCCAAAUCCUUCGAUAAUGACCUCUAACCAUAACAAAUCCUUUACCGC
RNAcentral lists this long non-coding RNA (1384 nucleotides) under Vigna radiata. RNAcentral describes it as "long non-coding RNA (VRAD_LNC002776)". Lineage: Eukaryota; Viridiplantae; Streptophyta; Magnoliopsida; Fabales; Fabaceae. The record is from RNAcentral.